UGUUUCAUCCUCUUUUUUCGGGAUUCUUCUCAGUUCAUAAUUGCCUGAUUUGUGUUAUCUCGGAUUAAUGUACAGAGCUGCUGCUGAUAUGAAGCUAUGAGGGAUUAUGAAUGUUUCAGAUAGGUAAAUUGAAUGUUGAAAGGGUGUGUGUUUUUUACAAAAGAAAAAAAGACAAAAUAUACCUGAAGGAUGUUUGUACUAGUCAUAGUAAGUGGUAUAUGGAAUAUGUCAGCUGACUGAUAAAUCAAAUAAAUGUAUAAGGGCUUUGCAAGUAUUUAUAAACAUAUUAACUCUCAUGUUUACAUUAUCAAGUGUGGAAAAAAUUCCCUUCAACUGUGGGAAAUUCCUUGUGUCAAGUUAUUUUUAUAAGAUUGAAAUUAAGCACUGUGUAUGGAUUUUUCAGCUCAGCUAUUAUAAAUGUUGAAUAAAAGAAAACAAUAAAUUUGAUGAUGUAUAGAAAAAAAACUAUCCCUUUUUUAAAAACUUUUUUAAAAAGUUUAUUGAUUGUUUUUUAUAACUAAAAAAUUAUAGUGCACCAUAUUGUAAAUAAAAGACUCAUGAUUCUCACUCACUGCCUGUCAGUAGGAGCACACAUGAACAAAAGGUUAAAGAUAAUUUACAAAUAUAUAACUGCUAUAUUAAAAUUUAUCUGUGUUUAAUAUUUUCUUUCCAUGAAAGUAUUUUUAUAAUUCGUCAUAUAGUCUUGGUGACUUUUUAGCUGUUAGCUUCUCAGAUUCAUUCACCUGGCAUUUUAUUGUACUUCCGUCGACACUUCGUUGGAUUGAACAGCGGAUUUUCAAAUUGUGAUAAAUCAACAUCAUUCUGUUCAAGAUAUUCUCUGACUAUCAUGUUACCCAAAGGACCUGUUAUACCACGUUCUCGAGCAAGAUGAGAGAGAUUCAUCUGAAAUAUAAUACAUGAGUGUGAGCAAAUUUUGGUAUAUACAUCUUAUUUUGCUUGCUUGUAGAAACUUUUGCGAGAGAAACUAUUUUGUUUUGUUAUGAGUUUUGACAAUUGAGAAGUUGAGGUAUUUCAAUUAUAUACGUACUUUUUCACCAGCCUUCAUAUUUUCUACUUCAUCUAAUAGACCUUUUUUGUCAAAUUCAACCUUUGAAGGGUCAGGUGAAUGUCGUUUUCGUUUUCCGUGAGAUACGUUUUCAUCAUCAGGUGAAGAGAAUUUUUCUAAAAGUUAAUUGUUUAUUUUUUUAAAAAAAUUGAGAAAUUGAUUUUGUGAAACAAAGUGAAAAGAACAUGACACAAUUGAAUUACUGGAUAUUUUAUCAGGAGAAGUUUUUACUGCAUGUGGCCGUUGUCAAAAAUGAUCAAAAAAAUUUCUCCUAAUAAAUUAGCCAAAACAGGUUCUUAUACCUUUCAAAGUUCUGGCCACAGCAGAUGACUUUUUUUCAAAGUGCAUGCUUGCUCUGCUUUUCAUAUAACAAGCUUUUGACUGACGUGUACCAAAUACAGUUUUAACAUCAAGACUUUUUUUUGCCAUGAUGUUUCAAUUGCAUUUUUUUA
Hydractinia symbiolongicarpus is the source of this 1518-nucleotide long non-coding RNA. RefSeq lists it as uncharacterized. The transcript is spliced from 2 exons. NCBI's taxonomy places the organism in Eukaryota, Metazoa, Cnidaria, Hydrozoa, Anthoathecata, Hydractiniidae. The record is from RefSeq and is a predicted model, not a curated record.